RNAcentral lists this ribosomal RNA (492 nucleotides) under uncultured bacterium. Its description in RNAcentral is "partial 16S ribosomal RNA". It matches the Rfam family "Bacterial small subunit ribosomal RNA", at positions 29 to 507 of the family's 1533-position model. The record is from RNAcentral.
AGUGAACGCUGGCGGUAGGCCUAACACAUGCAAGUCGAACGGCAGCACAGUAAGAGCUUGCUCUUACGGGUGGCGAGUGGCGGGCGGGUGAGGCAUACAUCGGAAUCUACUUUUUCGUGGGGGAUAACGUAGGGCCACUUACGCUAAUACCGCAUACGACCUACGGGUGAAAGCAGGGGUUCUUCGGACCUUUCGCGAUUGAAUGAGCCGGUGUCGGAUUAGCUAGUUGGCGGGGUAAAGGCCCACCAAGGCGACGAUCCGUAGCUGGUCUGAGAGGAUGAUCAGCCACACUGGAACUGAGACACGGUCCAGACUCCUACGGGAGGCAGCAGUAGGGAAUAUUGGACAAUGGGCGCAAGCCUGAUCCAGCCAUACCGCGUGGGUGAAGAAGGCCUUCGGGUUGUAAAGCCCUUUUGUUGGGAAAGAAAAGCAGCAGGUUAAUACCCCGCUGUUCUGACGGUACCCAAAGAAUAAGCACCGGCUAACUUCGUG